GUAGGUGAACCUGCGGAGGGAUCAUUACAGAGAACAUCGCCCUCACGGGUGACUCUCCAACCCUAUGUUAUUAAACCUCUGUUGCUUUGGCGAGCCGCUUCGGCCACCGGCGUCUGCUGGUGUGCGCUCGCCAGAGGACCACAAACUCUUGUUUAUUAAUGUCGUCUGAGUACCAUAUAAUAGUUAAAACUUUCAACAACGGAUCUCUUGGUUCUG
RNAcentral lists this unclassified non-coding RNA (216 nucleotides) under rhizosphere metagenome. RNAcentral's name for it is "partial ribosomal RNA internal transcribed spacer region". The record is from RNAcentral.